CCUACGGGUGGCAGCAGUGGGGAAUAUUGCACAAUGGGGGAAACCCUGAUGCAGCGACGCCGCGUGAGUGAUGAAGGAUUUCGGUAUGUAAAGCCCUGUCAGUAGGGAAGAAAAUGACGGUACCUGACGAAGAAGCCCCGGCUAACUACGUGCCAGCAGCCGCGGUAAUACGUAGGGGGCAAGCGUUAAUCGGAUUUACUGGGUGUAAAGGGAGCGUAGGCGGGAGGGCAAGUCAGGAGUGAAAGGCGGGGGCUCAACCCUCGGACUGCUCUUGAAACUGUCAGUCUGGAGUGCGGGAGAGGUAAGUGGAAUUCCUGGUGUAGCGGUGAAAUGCGUAGAUAUUAGGAGGAACACCAGUUGCGAAGGCGGCUUACUGGACUAUAACUGACGCUGAUGCUCGAAAGUGUGGGUAUCAAACAGGAUUAGAUACCCCUGUAGUC
RNAcentral lists this ribosomal RNA (440 nucleotides) under uncultured bacterium. RNAcentral's name for it is "partial 16S ribosomal RNA". It matches the Rfam family "Bacterial small subunit ribosomal RNA", at positions 338 to 795 of the family's 1533-position model. The record is from RNAcentral.